RNAcentral lists this ribosomal RNA (465 nucleotides) under uncultured bacterium. Its description in RNAcentral is "partial 16S ribosomal RNA". It matches the Rfam family "Bacterial small subunit ribosomal RNA", at positions 28 to 507 of the family's 1533-position model. The record is from RNAcentral.
GACGAACGCUGGCAGCGUGCUUAACACAUGCAAGUCGAACGGAAAGGCCCUGCUUGCAGGGUACUCGAGUGGCGAACGGGUGAGUAACACGUGGGUGAUCUGCCCUGCACUUCGGGAUAAGCCUGGGAAACUGGGUCUAAUACCGGAUAGGAGCCAUUUUUAGUGUGAUGGUUGGAAAGUUUUUUCGGUGUAGGAUGAGCUCGCGGCCUAUCAGCUUGUUGGUGGGGUAAUGGCCUACCAAGGCGGCGACGGGUAGCCGGCCUGAGAGGGUGGACGGCCACAUUGGGACUGAGAUACGGCCCAGACUCCUACGGGAGGCAGCAGUGGGGAAUAUUGCACAAUGGGCGCAAGCCUGAUGCAGCGACGCCGCGUGGGGGAUGACGGCCUUCGGGUUGUAAACUCCUUUCGCUAGGGACGAAGCUUUUUGUGACGGUACCUAGAGAAGAAGCACCGGCUAACUACGUG